CAGUAGCCACGGGAAUACAGAGGGUGCGAGCGUUAAUCGGAUUUACUGGGCGUAAAGCGUGCGUAGGCGGCUAAUUGAGUCGGAUGUGAAAUCCCCGAGCUUAACUUGGGAAUUGCAUUCGAUACUGGUUAGCUAGAGUGUGGGAGAGGAUGGUAGAAUUCCAGGUGUAGCGGUGAAAUGCGUAGAGAUCUGGAGGAAUACCGAUGGCGAAGGCAGCCAUCUGGCCUAACACUGACGCUGAGGUACGAAAGCAUGGGGAGCAAACAGGAUUAGAUACCCGGGUAGUCCCUGUCUCUUAUAC
RNAcentral lists this ribosomal RNA (301 nucleotides) under uncultured bacterium. RNAcentral's name for it is "partial 16S ribosomal RNA". It matches the Rfam family "Bacterial small subunit ribosomal RNA", at positions 509 to 807 of the family's 1533-position model. The record is from RNAcentral.